Molecule: long non-coding RNA, 1293 nt
Organism: Gallus gallus (chicken)
Lineage: Eukaryota; Metazoa; Chordata; Aves; Galliformes; Phasianidae
Source: Ensembl
CUUUUUGGAGUAUGCAAAUCCUGAUCCUUGGGGCAGUACCAUUGAGGACAGGCACUGCAAAAGCCCUCUCAACUGUAAAGAUUGGCAGCCAUCCACACUGAGGUGCUGUUGCCUCUGCCUAAGAUCCCACCGCGCUGCCCAAGCCUGGCUGUAAGCGGCGCUGCCAACAGGAGUAUCCAUGUUGUGUGCCAGCGUAGAAGCUUGAGGAGGAUGCGGAAGUUAUACCACAGGCAGCAAGGAGGGAGGAGAGACACAAUACUUGCUUUCCUCGUAGGAGGAGCUGCGACUUUUCAUAUUCUCCUCCUAUACUUCUUCCUAUGCCUCCUCCUUUCUGAAGGGCAAGUAAAGCUCUCCCUGAGGAAUUCUGUUAACACAGAAGCUGUGCUCCCUGCUGUGAAAACACCAUGAAAGAAAGUUUGAAAGGCUCUUUGGCCUCAGAAAAUGCUGAAGAAAGAGGGAAGUUUUAGCAGUGUAGUAGCAUCCUUCAGCCCUGUUCACAAGGGCAACCCUUUCUGAGUGUGUUGCAGUUGCGAUGGGAUGUCAUUACACACAUUUUAAAUAAAUCCUAGCAAAUCUUUGUGAUGGGGAAUAACAGAAGUGAAAAUCCACCAGUAUGAUGAACUCUGAUUUAUCAAAGAUAACUACAGGUGUUUUUUCAAGGAAGGCCAAGCGACUCUUCUCAUUAUGUAGGUGGAGGAAAAUGGGCAAAGAAGUGCUAUUCCUGAAUGUCAUCUGGACAAAUGAUGGAAAGAGGACUUAUUCUGGAAGUGAAGCAUCCUAGUCAGAAACUAUAUCAAAAAGAAAAAAUGUAUUCCAUUGCAGUACAUCUCUAGAGUAAUUAGCAAUUAGAAACACUAGCAACAUAGCCCUGGCUCCCUUAGUAGCACUCCUGGGCUUCCACAGCUUUGGUCACGUCAUAUCAGCUGUAUCCCAACUCUCCCACCACUAAAACAAGGACUAACUAGUAGCAGUAUUGCUGCCAGACACAAGUGAAUGUUCCUGAAGCUCUCCAAGAGCUUCAGAUGCAGGAAGAGGACUAAAGUGCGAAGUUGCUAAUUAUUUCAACACUCCUUCUUGUUAGUAUUAAUCAAAGUAUCAAGCCAGUUCUCUGUAAUCCAAGCAAAGAAGAUUGAGUUUUCAUGGUGGGAAAUGCUUUAAAGUUCACUGUGCUUGAAUCACAAAUUUACUGUAUGUUUCCUGCUUGCUGGCUUUGUGCAUGCAUGGGUGAAUUUCUUUUGCUGUUUUUACUAAUUGUUGGAACUACUUCCAGUGGCUUUAAACAAAUGUUGACUC